RNAcentral lists this transfer RNA (76 nucleotides) under Mariprofundaceae bacterium. RNAcentral's name for it is "tRNA-Lys". It matches the Rfam family "tRNA". From Rfam's summary of the family: Transfer RNA (tRNA) molecules are approximately 80 nucleotides in length. Their secondary structure includes four short double-helical elements and three loops (D, anti-codon, and T loops). The record is from RNAcentral. Lineage: Bacteria; Pseudomonadati; Pseudomonadota; Candidatius Mariprofundia; Mariprofundales; Mariprofundaceae.
GGGGCGUUAGCUCAGUUGGUAGAGCAGCUGACUCUUAAUCAGCGGGUCGUUGGUUCGAUCCCAACACGCCCCACCA